UACGUAUGGUGCAAGCGUUAUCCGGAUUUACUGGGCGUAAAGGGAGCGCAGGCGGCACGCCAAGUCUGAUGUGAAACCCCGGGGCUCAACCCCGGGCUUGCAUUGGAAACUGGCGGGCUGGAGUGCCGGAGAGGUAAGCGGAAUUCCUAGUGUAGCGGUGAAAUGCGUAGAUAUUAGGAGGAACACCAGUGGCGAAGGCGGCUUACUGGACGGCAACUGACGCUGAGGCUCGAAAGCGUGGGGAGCAAACAGG
RNAcentral lists this ribosomal RNA (253 nucleotides) under uncultured bacterium. RNAcentral's name for it is "partial 16S ribosomal RNA". It matches the Rfam family "Bacterial small subunit ribosomal RNA", at positions 524 to 776 of the family's 1533-position model. The record is from RNAcentral.